AGUCGCACCUCGACGGGGUGGACGGGCCAUCAACAAGGCCCGUGGCCUAGGUUGGUGGCCCACAGUGCACUUGGUGGGUGCGCUGGCCUAUCAUCUCCCCAAGUGGGAGAGUGAACGUCAUAAUUUGUGAUAGAGAGGGUACGCGUUCGCGCGGCCCCUGU
Molecule: small nuclear RNA, 161 nt
Filed under: Aegilops tauschii subsp. strangulata
Lineage: Eukaryota; Viridiplantae; Streptophyta; Magnoliopsida; Poales; Poaceae
Description: snRNA U1
Rfam family: U1 spliceosomal RNA
About the family: U1 is a small nuclear RNA (snRNA) component of the spliceosome (involved in pre-mRNA splicing). Its 5' end forms complementary base pairs with the 5' splice junction, thus defining the 5' donor site of an intron.
Source: Rfam by way of RNAcentral